CAAAGAAAAAUAGUCUGAUUUUCUCAACGUUGUGUAGCUGUGUGGAAAAAAGGAAUAUAAAUUUUAUUUUUUUGUUCACUGAAUUUCUUUAUAGUAAAUGUGUGUUAUUUUCCUAUUAUCAAUAUAAAUGCCAACUAUAGAUGGAUGUCAGUAAAGAAUAAUUGGAAAAGCUACCCUACCUACAUACAUACAUUUUAAAAGAAAUCACACAAAUUUUUGUUGGUGCUCUUUCCCGACGACUAGUGAAGUGAGUAGACAAGGCUGACACUUGGCACGCCAACCAUCCAACGGCUUAACUAAACAAGCGAAGUGGGAAAUUGUUGAUGGUCUGUAGAACAUAAAUACUAAAGUAUUAUAAAGUUUUUGUAGUUUCAGUUCGUACUUAAGAAAAUAAACAGCAAAAUAAUGUCAUAUCCACCACGCCCACCUAUGCCACCAUACAUGAAUCCCUCCAUACCACCGCCUCACAUGAUGGGGCCGAUGGGUAAUCCGCCACCACAUGCAAGAGGUUAUAGAAACUCGGCAACUAUCAGUUCUCAACCAACGGUUUAUCAAAGGCCCCCAGAUCCAGUACCACAAUUUAAAGGACCAAUCAUUACGGUGUUUGUGGGAAACAUUAGUGAACGGGUUCCGGAGAUUUUAAUAACACGUAUCUUGUCCACUUGUGGUCCUGUUGUGAAUUGGAAACGAGUUUCGACAUUUGGUUUCUGUGAAUAUGAUGGUCCCACUGCCGGCAUGCGAGCUGUUCGUUUACUAAGUGAAAUCGAAUUGGACGGUAAAACGUUGGUAGCGAAAGUUGAUGCUAAAAAUAAGCUUUUGCUAGACAACUUUAAAGAGGAAGAGCGUAAAAAUGGAGCAAGUGAAAUGCCAGAUGAGAAAAUUGACGAUGAAGAUGCGCUGCGAUCAAUGAGACGAAUAAUUGAUGAACACAAGCAUGAAAUGGACGAAUUUGAUCCCAAUGCACGCACUGACUUGUAUGGAGUUCGUGGAGUUAAAACUAAACCUAACCGAAAUGAUGAGAUCAAAGUUCCCAAAGUACUACACGAGACCAAUUUGGAAGAGGAAAAGCGUAAUCUGAUCAGCAGCGAGAUUGGCAAAUUCCGUAAAAAAGCGGAAGCUGACGAACAUCGCAAGGAAAAAGAAAAAGAACGUGAAAAGGAAAAGGAACGCGAUAAAGAGCAACAGAAAGAGAAAAUACGAGAAAGAGAAAAGGAAAAAGAAAAGAAAAAGAGAAGCGAAAGUGUCAGCGAGCAGGACUGGGAUGUCGAAGAAAAGGUGGGCGGUAGUGAUGGUGUUUCAAUUGUUCCGACCCAUAAAAAGGAACGUACAGUUGAUAUUUCAUCUCCAAUUAAAAAAGAUAAGGAACGGGAGAGUGGGUCAAAGGAAUCGAGGCGUAAACGCAGUCGCUCGCGCUCAAAAGAUCGAGAUCGUGAAUAUAGAGAACGGGAACGUGAGCGUGAAAGAGAACGCGAAAGGGAGCAAAGAGAAAAAGAGCGUGAACGCGAAAGGGAACGAGAAAGAGAAAGGGAGCGUGAACGGGAACGCGAAAGAGAACGUGAAAGAGAACGAGAAAGGGAGAGAGAAAGGGAACGUGACAGAGAACGUGAAAGAGAACGUGAAGAAAAGGUAGUCAAAAAUGUUAGAGAUGUGCAGCGCGAAAAGGAAAUAGAAGAGGAAUUGCGUGAACGUAAGAAGGCUGAAAAGAAGGCACGCGAAAAAGAAGAAGCUUACCAAGAACGUUUAAUAAAUUGGGAGCAAAGGGAAAAACGCAAAGCUAAGGAAUAUGAAAAGAUACGUUUAAAAGAAAAAGUAAAACAGGAUGAACGUGAAAAAGAAGCAAAACGCCUUAAAGAGUUCCUAGAAGACUAUGAUGAUGAAAGAGAUGAUAUCAAAUAUUACAAGGGUCGGGAAUUGCAACGACGCCUGGCGGAACGAGUUCGAGAAGCAGAUUUAGACGCUAAGGAUCGCAACAAGGAACAAGAAGAGUUGGAAGAACUUAAAAAUAAAAUAUUUAGCGGUGAAUUUGAAAAUCCCUCACAAGAAUAUGAAAGAGCCAAAAAAGAACAUGAAAAAUUAUACCGGCCGCAAAUUAUCAUUGAUGUUAAUUUGGAGAACUUGCAACGAAAGGAGAGGGAACGUAGCAGGGACAGACACUGCACUAACAUGUCUUCGGAAAAACGUUUAAAUUCAAAUGAUAUCUAUCAUAGAAGUGAGGAUAGUGCGUUAGGUGCAAGUAGUGCGCCUAUGCGACCACUUUCAAAAGCCGGCUCAGUUGAAUCAUCAUCAAAUGAUGAUGCUGCCUCUCGACAUGAGACCAUGUCAAAUGCAAGCAGUCGAUAUAGUCGUCAGGAUUCCGAAUCACGCGAUUUUGCAAGUGCUCCUGAUAUAGAGUCGAUGUCGCCUGCUACUCCUCAAGCCUUUGCUGCACAUUCACAAAAUAAUGAUUCCGCCUCUACACCGCCUAUGAUGCCUACCGUUGGAAUAAGUCUGAAUCUGGGGGCCAAUGCAAAGAAAAAGAAAAUUGAAUCUACCGCCGGAGUGUUUAGCAAUGACGAUGACAACGAUGAUCUUUCCAAUCCUAAAAAACGAAAACUAGUACCUUUGGACUAUGAAGACAAUCAGACAAAACAGGGCUCACAUUCGUCUAGUACGCACUCAGGUGACAGACACGAUACCACUGGAGGAGGUGGCGGUGGAAAUGCAGGUGGUGGCAUUGCUAGUAGUACUGGAUCGUCAGCAGCUGGUGGUGGCGCUGGAAAGGGGGGAAAUGCAACAACAAACAAAAAACAUGGAUACCCACCCAAAAGGAGGAUCUCUUCAAUUACAAACUCGAUCGCAAUGAGAUUGACAACAAUCUUAUGGAACGGAAAAUACGUCCUUGGAUAAAUAAGAAGAUAAUUGAAUAUAUCGGUGAACCCGAGCCAACACUGGUCGACUUUAUAUGCUCCAAAGUUCUAGCAGGCAGUUCGCCUCAAAGUAUUCUGGACGAUGUUCAGAUGGUUCUUGACGAAGAAGCCGAAGUGUUUGUUGUCAAAAUGUGGAGACUACUCAUCUACGAAG
Molecule: unclassified non-coding RNA, 3060 nt
Filed under: Lucilia cuprina (Australian sheep blowfly)
Lineage: Eukaryota; Metazoa; Arthropoda; Insecta; Diptera; Calliphoridae
Description: rNA-binding protein 25, transcript variant X4
Source: RNAcentral